UUCUGUCUAAACUGUUAAGUUCUAAUUUUCUGGCCCAUUUGAUCGUUCUGGUUAUUAACUCUUCCCUUUCCUGUUACCAGCCACUCGUUCCUGUUACUGGUCCAGUUAUUUUUUUAGCUUUGUGCACUUACAUUUCAUCUGUUAUUAUUUAUAUUUUUAGUUUGGAUAAUUGCAUUCAGGCAUCCACAAUAUAUGUUAUAAUUCAGCACUAUAGGAUAAUAUACCCAAUAAAGCUAGCACAAUAAUGUAUGUUCAACUUGUUCUUUUGCAACUGAUCUCUUUCCAGCAUGUCCAGGCCUUAAUUAUCUGAAAUAUGUUCCUUUUUUCGUCAAACCAAUGUAGCUUGUUUCAUGGGAAGAAGGUGGUUACAAGAUUUCUGAUUAUCCGAUGCCGAGAGGAGAGGAUUCCGGCUCCCAUCAAGUGACUCCUUCCCCUCACGUUGACUUUGCGGACAGAUGUCUCAAUUCUAGUGGUGGAGCUACGAACAACAA
Molecule: RNA transcript, 491 nt
Organism: Zea mays
Lineage: Eukaryota; Viridiplantae; Streptophyta; Magnoliopsida; Poales; Poaceae
Gene name: DNA-directed RNA polymerase II subunit RPB2
Exons: 2
Source: RefSeq, a predicted model, not a curated record